RNAcentral lists this long non-coding RNA (219 nucleotides) under Olea europaea (common olive). RNAcentral describes it as "long non-coding RNA (OEUR_LNC002741)". Lineage: Eukaryota; Viridiplantae; Streptophyta; Magnoliopsida; Lamiales; Oleaceae. The record is from RNAcentral.
UGCUUGUUCUUUCCCAAUUGGUUGUCAAUCUUGAUGCAAUUCAAUUUCUCUUCUUUGCCUCUUGAAUGGAUCUUCACUCUUGCACCCUUUUUUAUCCAGAGAAAAUCCCAGAAAAACGGUUGCCCAUUAGGUUUUUGUCUUGGUAUUUAUAUUAUCUCCGAGUUUUGGAUGGUUAGAGAACAUUUUAGGCCGAGAAAUAUCCAAAAAUUCGAACUCUUC